GCAAGUCGAGCGGACCGACGGGAGCUUGCUCCCUUAGGUCAGCGGCGGACGGGUGAGUAACACGUGGGUAACCUGCCUGUAAGACUGGGAUAACUCCGGGAAACCGGGGCUAAUACCGGAUGCUUGAUUGAACCGCAUGGUUCAAUCAUAAAAGGCGGCUUCGGCUGCCGUUUACAGAUGGACCCGCGGCGCAUUAGCUAGUUGGUGAGGUAACGGCUCACCAAGGCGACGAUGCGUAGCCGACCUGAGAGGGUGAUCGGCCACACUGGGACUGAGACACGGCCCAGACUCCUACGGGAGGCAGCAGUAGGGAAUCUUCCGCAAUGGACGAGAGUCUGACGGAGCAACGCCGCGUGAGUGAUGAAGGUUUUCGGAUCGUACAGCUCUGUUGUUAGGGAAGAACAAGUACCGUUCGAAUAGGGCGGUACCUUGACGGUAC
Molecule: ribosomal RNA, 439 nt
Filed under: Bacillus sp. CSu4_37
Lineage: Bacteria; Bacillati; Bacillota; Bacilli; Caryophanales; Bacillaceae
Description: bacterial SSU rRNA
Rfam family: Bacterial small subunit ribosomal RNA
Source: RNAcentral